RNA transcript from Beta vulgaris subsp. vulgaris (sugar beet), 2893 nucleotides. RefSeq lists it as uncharacterized. The record is from RefSeq and is a predicted model, not a curated record. NCBI's taxonomy places the organism in Eukaryota, Viridiplantae, Streptophyta, Magnoliopsida, Caryophyllales, Amaranthaceae. The transcript has 12 exons.
UGUACGCUGUCAUUAUACGCGUAUGAUAGUAAUAACAGAAGAAAACAGCUAACAUACGCGUCAAAUUGACGCGUAUUAUAGCUAAUAUAAGUUAUUCUUUCAAUUCAAUGCUUUAUUUGCUCUUUGUAUUGGCUUUCAUCUCUCACCUGCUCUUAUUACUUCAUCAAUGCCUCUUCCUCUUAUGGAAGUGUUGAAGUUUCUGCAUUUCAUCUGUGUUAUGUUAUUUCUUUUCUGGGAUUGUUGAUCUUCUAAAUUUAUCAGGGGAAAAAUCAAAAAUCGAUCGAUUUCACAUAUUUCUCUCAAACGUGAUUAUAGUAGUAUUUGUUGGGCGAAGAUUUUACGGAAUUAUAAAGAGUUGAAUUUGGAAGAUAGUGAGAGGGGUAAACGGAGUCAAUUAUGUUCAAGCCUAACAAAAUUCACUACUUUAGGGUUUUUGUGAGUUCUUCUACAACUUUUUAUUUUUAAACUUGUGAAUUCAAUUAUGUUUGUUUAACUUUUAAAAGUUUUGUUUUUUUUGUCUUGUGAAAAUUCCAUUUAAGACGGUGCUAGCAGACUUAAUUGUAAGUAUUUGGAUUCAAUUUUCUACUUCAGUUUGUUGUUUGCUUCUAGUUGCAUGACUCUUUUUUGUUUUUUUAAUGAUUGAACUCUUUAAGUAUAUAUGAAUAUGAUGUUCUAGUAACAUGAUAUCUUUUUAUAUUUUAUACUGAUUCUUGCUUUAAGUUGUUCUUGAUGGAGGACAUUUUAGUCCGGUGUUUAAACAUGUGAUUGAGGUUUACGAGGAUAAAGUUUCUGUCUUUGAUACUGGCUCUGGGAUGGAUGGAAGUGAUGAGAAUUCGAUAGUGAAGUGGUACUUUCAGUUUCUCCUUCUGAAAAGCGUGGUCUUUAAUGGCUUUAGUUUGUGGAUAUAGUUACUACUCUUGGAAAUAGUUUCAUAAAACCAAUACUUUUCAUGAAUUAUGUACAUGGAUUUUUUUGAGGAAGGUGGAUCUUUUGAAUAUUAAAGUUGAGCAUUUACUCAUUUAGUCUAUGUCGUAACCUGAAAGUUAGAUUUGUAACUUUGAGGUUUAGCUGGGCCAUUGUUUAGCUGUGACUUCUUUUUGUUACAUGCUUUCCUUUUUCUUAUUUUGCAGCCUUUUUUUGGGAUAUAUGGCUAUGGUGGAACUAUUAGGGAUGUAUGAUAAUUACUUCUCCUGUUCUCCUUAUUGUUGAGCAUGGAAUCUCAUUUUUGGCAAUUUUUCUGAAUUCUGUGUCCUAUGCUAGGCAUGCUAUAGUAUCUGCAAGGACUAAACAGUCUAAGAAAGUUUACUGGCUUCCUUUAAGGAAGGGAUGCGCUAUUAAAGGCGGUCUGGGACUGAUCUUAACUAGAAGGCUGGGAGUGGACUUCAAGAUCCAUUAGACAGAGAGAUUGAACUGUCCCCUCAUGGAAGUUUUACGGAGGUGUACAAGCAGCGCGAGAAGGGAAUGCGCGCCUGAAGUUGUGUUUACUUUCCCAUUGUGGAGGGCGAGGAGAGUAUUGAGAAAUUUUUGGAAAAACUAAAUUCUGCUGGCUGUGGAAUUCAAGACGACUAUGAAUCUUUUAGUCGUAUUUCCAUCAGGCUGUUGGGCCGUCUUCUUUCUGAAGCUCACUGGGAGCUGCUACCUUUCACGAAACCCAGACAGAAGAAGGGGAGAAAAGUUGAAAUUUUGAAGAGGGUGCUGUUCAAGAGAUUAAGUGCUUCAUUGACUGAUUUAGGUCCUCAUGACCGUAAGCAUUGAAGGAUCUGGGAGGUCGCACUCAGAAAGAGAAAGUAAAAGUUCAAAUUUUUAGAGGUGAAAAGCAAUUGACACUUCAACAACUGGAGCGAGAGUAUCAACACUGGAUUCUACAAAUACAUAUUGUGAGGGUUCUUCAAGCUAUAAUUGGAAGUGCAGAUCUUGGAAUAGGGGACAUGAAGUUAAGAUUCUCAAAGGUGCAUGCUGUGGCUGUCAUAAGAACAACCUAUUUGUAACGCUCGGAUAUUUUUUACUUGAAGGCCUUGAAAAGGAUACAGGAGGAGAGGCGCGGAUUAUUUGCAGGUAUAUAUGAAACCUCAACUUUCUGUUACUCUUCUGCUAGAGUUUUACUGUUUUUAUGUCUCCUGGUAUUUUGUUUUGUGAAGGCCACUAGGGUUGAGGAGGAAAAUGGUAGUGUGCUUAGAGUUGAUGCUACUAACAGUGACUUCGAGUUCGAACUCCGCAGCUUUAUAUCUUUGCCUAUCACUGUGUUACAUCCAGGAAAGUGUAUUGCCGUUAGCGACAACGACUGGAAUUGCCAAGUUGACAAGCUAAAUCUAAAAAUUCCCCCGACAAGUGCUGGGACCAAAGCAAUGCAAUGCAUUAGAACUUGAUGGGGGAUUACUUAGAGAUAUGCUUAUGUUUCUGCUGGAACAUUACCUCCUAUAGAAGUUGUUGCCUUACUGCGGCCUUCCAAUUUCACUUGAAGUAGUGCCUCUAAUGAUUUAGACCAAAAAUACAUUCUAAGGGACAAUGACGACAUGCCUGGAUAUUAAAUUCAUGACUGCAGCUGCAAAAUACCCUGAGGGUGACCAUAUUUUUUCAGUAACUGUUACAAAUACAUCACGUGAUGGAUGUCAGGGUUUGUAUAGAUUUUUGGUGGGGUCAGUGUCAUGUUUAUUUCAAAAAGCUGGAGUUAUUCAUUUUCCUUCUCUCUGGUAUCAAAUCCCUUCUCCUGCUUCCUGCAUUCUGGAUUUUGAAAGAUUACAAUUAGGAUUUGCCUCUGUACAGAAAAAAUCAGCAACUGCAAGUUCUGAAUUUUGAUUGUGAGGGUCAAAGCAUCAUCUAAUAUCAAACGCUGGGAACUUUCAAAAGAUGAUAUAGAACUGCCUUUGAGUGUGAGAAUAGAGUGAAUUUUUGG